RNAcentral lists this long non-coding RNA (620 nucleotides) under Sorghum bicolor (sorghum). Its description in RNAcentral is "long non-coding RNA (SBIC_LNC003347)". The record is from RNAcentral. Lineage: Eukaryota; Viridiplantae; Streptophyta; Magnoliopsida; Poales; Poaceae.
AGGUAACACGGACCAGGGAAUCUCAAACACAAAGUUUUGAGGCAUGAUGAUAACAAACAAUUAUUGUAAGUGUUAUUAUUUGAUCAAAUUUGGAACAAUAUGUUAAGGGCUCUGUUUGCUUUGGGGAUGGAGUAAUCAAUUAUCUUCUCACUCCUCGCUGGUUUGUGAAAUACAAUAAUGAUUUGAUCCAUCAUGGUCUUAUUUCUCACAAAUUAAAAAUUAGUACAGACAUGAGGGUUAUAACCAAUCUACCAAAAUUAUAGAAUGAACUCAUAAUGCAUCACCAUAUUUUAAGAUAUAAAUGUGAGCAUAUAACUAGAACACAAAUCUAAUAAUGGUAAAUGUAAACAUGGCACUUUGUAUUGACAGCAUGUCAGCGAUAGAACUUACAGAGGAGCAUGAAGAGCCGUGCAUUUGUAGUAUAUGUAGGGGUAGUACUAGGAUGUAACCGUGUGAAUAAUGUACUUGGCAUGAUGAAAUGGGACAACCAAAGAAGGAAUUAGCAAAGUCGUAUUGGAACAAUAGUCAUAUAUACUAUAUAUAUAGUAAGUAUAUAUAAAGGGCAAGGAAUGCCAAAGAAAAAAACUAUGAUAUAGUAAAAAAAAAGUAUAACAGAGUCA